Paramormyrops kingsleyae is the source of this 132-nucleotide small nucleolar RNA. Ensembl annotates it as small nucleolar RNA SNORA49. The record is from Ensembl. NCBI's taxonomy places the organism in Eukaryota, Metazoa, Chordata, Actinopteri, Osteoglossiformes, Mormyridae.
GUUCCCCUCCCUUACUCCAGGACGUGAGCCCAGUGCCGUGUCCUGGCAUUGACAGGGGAUACAGCAAUGGCUUUCUCCUCCUCUCCCUUCAGCUCUACAGCUGACAGCGGGGCUUAAGGGGUGGCCAACAGC